Molecule: transfer RNA, 64 nt
Filed under: Taharana fasciana
Lineage: Eukaryota; Metazoa; Arthropoda; Insecta; Hemiptera; Cicadellidae
Description: tRNA-Asn
Source: RNAcentral
UUAAUUGAAGCUAAAUAGAGGCAUCUUAUUGUUAAUAAGAAAAAUGAUAAACAAUCCAAUUAAA